This 391-nucleotide unclassified non-coding RNA is filed under the name soil metagenome. Its description in RNAcentral is "partial contains 5.8S ribosomal RNA, internal transcribed spacer 2, and large subunit ribosomal RNA". The stretch from base 1 to 122 matches the Rfam family "5.8S ribosomal RNA", at positions 35 to 154 of the family's 154-position model. The record is from RNAcentral.
GAUGAAGAACGUAGCGAAAUGCGAUACUUGGUGUGAAUUGCAGAAUCCCGUGAACCAUCGAGUCUUUGAACGCAAGUUGCGCCCGAAGCCAUUAGGCCGAGGGCACGCCUGCCUGGGCGUCACACGUCGUUGCCCCCCCAUCUACUCCUUCGGGAUUGCGGGGGGCGGAUGAUGGCCUCCCGUGUGCCUCGUCGCGCGGUUGGCAUAAAUGCCAAGUCCUCGGCGACGCACGCCACGACAAUCGGUGGUUGCGAAACCUCGGUUGCCCGUCGUGUGCGGUCGUCGCGCAUCGAGGGCUCGAAAAAAUUGCCGGGCUCCGGCUCGGCUUUCAACGCGACCCCAGGUCAGGCGGGGUUACCCGCUGAAUUUAAGCAUAUCAAUAAGCGGAGGA